RNAcentral lists this ribosomal RNA (372 nucleotides) under uncultured soil bacterium. RNAcentral's name for it is "bacterial SSU rRNA". It matches the Rfam family "Bacterial small subunit ribosomal RNA", at positions 27 to 389 of the family's 1533-position model. The record is from RNAcentral.
GGGACGAACGCUGGCGGCGUGCUUAACACAUGCAAGUCGAGCGGAAAGGCCUUUCGGGGUACUCGAGCGGCGAACGGGUGAGUAACACGUGAGUAAUCUGCCCAUCGCUUCAGGAUAGCCAUCGGAAACGGUGAUUAAUACUGGAUAUGACAUUCCUUCGCAUGUUGGGGUGUGGUAAAGUUUUUUCGGCGGUGGAUGUGCUCGCGGCCUAUCAGUCUUGGUUGGUGGGUAAGUGGCCUACCAAGGUCUUUGGACGGGUAGCCGGCCGUGAGGAGGGUCGACCGGCCACACGUGGGACUGAGACGACGGCCAGACCUCCGUACGGGAGCAGCGAGGUGGGAAUAUUGGACAAGUGGGACGAAGCCUGACUCC